UACGGAGGAUCCAAGCGUUAUCCGGAAUUACUGGGCGUAAAGAGUUGCGUAGGUGGCAAUAUAAGUAGACAGUGAAAUCGUGUGGCUCAACCAUACGCACAUUGUCUAAACUGUAUAGCUUGAGGACAAGAGAGGUACCUGGAAUUCCCAGUGUAGGAGUGAAAUCCGUAGAUAUUGGGAGGAACACCGAUGGCGUAGGCAGGGUACUGGCUUGUUCCUGACACUAAGGCACGAAAGCGUGGGGAGCGAACGGG
Molecule: ribosomal RNA, 254 nt
Filed under: uncultured bacterium
Lineage: Bacteria
Description: partial 16S ribosomal RNA
Rfam family: Bacterial small subunit ribosomal RNA
Source: RNAcentral